CUUCGGAUCGUAAAGCUCUGUUGUUAGGGAAGAACAAGUACCGUUCAAAUAGGGCGGUACCUUGACGGUACCUAACCAGAAAGCCACGGCUAACUACGUGCCAGCAGCCGCGGUAAUACGUAGGUGGCAAGCGUUAUCCGGAAUUAUUGGGCGUAAAGCGCGCGCAGGCGGUCCUUUAAGUCUGAUGUGAAAGCCCACGGCUCAACCGUGGAGGGUCAUUGGAAACUGGGGGACUUGAGUGCAGAAGAGGAGAGCGGAAUUCCACGUGUAGCGGUGAAAUGCGUAGAGAUGUGGAGGAACACCAGUGGCGAAGGCGGCUCUCUGGUCUGUAACUGACGCUGAGGCGCGAAAGCGUGGGGAGCGAACAGGAUUAGAUACCCUGGUAGUCCACGCCGUAAACGAUGAGUGCUAGGUGUUAGGGGGUUUCCGCCCCUUAGUGCUGAAGUUAACGCAUUAAGCACUCCGCCUGGGGAGUACGGCCGCAAGGCUGAAACUCAAAAGAAUUGACGGGGGCCCGCACAAGCGGUGGAGCAUGUGGUUUAAUUCGAAGCAACGCGAAGAACCUUACCAGGUCUUGACAUCCUCUGACAACCCUAGAGAUAGGGCUUUCCCUUCGGGGACAGAGUGACAGGUGGUGCAUGGUUGUCGUCAGCUCGUGUCGUGAGAUGUUGGGUUAAGUCCCGCAACGAGCGCAACCCUUGAU
RNAcentral lists this ribosomal RNA (703 nucleotides) under uncultured Bacillus sp. RNAcentral describes it as "bacterial SSU rRNA". It matches the Rfam family "Bacterial small subunit ribosomal RNA", at positions 416 to 1109 of the family's 1533-position model. Lineage: Bacteria; Bacillati; Bacillota; Bacilli; Caryophanales; Bacillaceae. The record is from RNAcentral.